Molecule: long non-coding RNA, 954 nt
Organism: Oncorhynchus keta (chum salmon)
Lineage: Eukaryota; Metazoa; Chordata; Actinopteri; Salmoniformes; Salmonidae
Exons: 4
Source: RefSeq, a predicted model, not a curated record
AUGGCCUGGUACUCAGGGCUCUACUGUCCCUCCAUCAUGUCCUAAUGGCCUGGUACUCAGGGCUCUACUGUCCCCCCAUCAGGUCCUAAUGGCCUGGUACUCAGGGCUCUACUGUCCCUCCAUCAGGCCCUAAUGGCCUGGUACUCAGGGCUCUACUGUCCCUCCAUCACGUCCUAAUGGCCUGGUACUCAGGGCUCUACUGUCCCUCCAUCAGGUCCUAAUGGCCUGGUACUCAGGGCUCUACUGUCCCUCCAUCAGGUCAUAAUGGCCUGGUACUCAGGGCUCUACUGUCCCUCCAUCAGGUCAUAAUGGCCUGGUACUCAGGGCUCUACUGUCCCUCCAUCAGGUCCUAAUGGCCUGGUACUCAGGGCUCUACUGUCCCUCCAUCAGGUCAUAAUGGCCUGGUACUCAGGGCUCUACUGUCCCUCCAUCAGGUCAUAAUGGCCUGGUACUCAGGGCUCUACUGUCCCUCCAUCAGGUCAUAAUGGCCUGGUACUCAGGGCUCUACUGUCCCUCCAUCAGGUCCUAAUGGCCUGGUACUCAGGGCUCUACUGUCCCUCCAUCAGGUCCUAAUGGCCUGGUACUCAGGGCUCUACUGUCCCUCCAUCAGGUCCUAAUGGCCUGGUACUCAGGGCUCUACUGUCCCUCCAUCAGGUCAUAAUGGCCUGGUACUCAGGGCUCUACUGUCCCUCCAUCAGGUCAUAAUGGCCUGGUACUCAGGGCUCUACUGUCCCUCCAUCAGGUCAUAAUGGCCUGGUACUCAGGGCUCUACUGUCCCUCCAUCAGGUCAUAAUGGCCUGGUACUCAGGGCUCUACUGUCCCUCCAUCAGGUCAUAAUGGCCUGGUACUCAGGGCUCUACUGUCCCUCCAUCAGGUCAUAAUGGCCUGGUACUCAGGGCUCUACUGUCCCUCCAUCAGGUCAUAAUGGCCUGGUACUCAGGGCUCUACUGUCCC